RNAcentral lists this ribosomal RNA (275 nucleotides) under uncultured bacterium. RNAcentral describes it as "partial 16S ribosomal RNA". It matches the Rfam family "Bacterial small subunit ribosomal RNA", at positions 338 to 610 of the family's 1533-position model. The record is from RNAcentral.
CCUACGGGUGGCUGCAGUGAGGAAUAUUGGUCAAUGGACGGAAGUCUGAACCAGCCAUGCCGCGUGAAGGAUGAAGGCGUUCUGCGUUGUAAACUUCUUUUAUCAGGGAAGACACCCCGUGUUUUUACGCGGGCCGACGGUACCUGAUGAAUAAGCACCGGCUAACUCCGUGCCAGCAGCCGCGGUAAUACGGAGGGUGCAAGCGUUAUCCGGAUUCACUGGGUUUAAAGGGUGUGUAGGCGGGCUAUUAAGUCAGUGGUGAAAUCUCUGGGCUC